CAGCCGCCGCGGGAAUACGAAGGGGGCUAGCGUUGUUCGGAUUUACUGGGCGUAAAGCGCACGUAGGCGGCUUGGUAAGUUAGAGGUGAAAGCCCAGGGCUCAACCCUGGAAUUGCCUUUAAGACUGCCGAGCUAGUAGGUGAGAGAGGUGAGUGGAAUUCCGAGUGUAGAGGUGAAAUUCGUAGAUAUUCGGAAGAACACCAGUGGCGAAGGCGGCUCACUGGCUCAUUCUAGACGCUGAGGUGCGAAAGCGUGGGGAGCAAACAGGAUUAGAUACCCCCGUAGUCCCUGUCUCUUAUAC
RNAcentral lists this ribosomal RNA (301 nucleotides) under uncultured bacterium. RNAcentral describes it as "partial 16S ribosomal RNA". It matches the Rfam family "Bacterial small subunit ribosomal RNA", at positions 509 to 807 of the family's 1533-position model. The record is from RNAcentral.